This 322-nucleotide ribosomal RNA is filed under the name Salmonella enterica subsp. enterica serovar Kedougou. Its description in RNAcentral is "partial 23S ribosomal RNA". It matches the Rfam family "Bacterial large subunit ribosomal RNA", at positions 1223 to 1547 of the family's 2925-position model. The record is from RNAcentral. Lineage: Bacteria; Pseudomonadati; Pseudomonadota; Gammaproteobacteria; Enterobacterales; Enterobacteriaceae.
GUUGGGUAGGGGAGCGUUCUGUAAGCCUGUGAAGGUGGCCUGUGAGGGUUGCUGGAGGUAUCAGAAGUGCGAAUGCUGACAUAAGUAACGAUAAAGCGGGUGAAAAGCCCGCUCGCCGGAAGACCAAGGGUUCCUGUCCAACGUUAAUCGGGGCAGGGUGAGUCGACCCCUAAGGCGAGGCCGAAAGGCGUAGUCGAUGGGAAACGGGUUAAUAUUCCCGUACUUGGUGUUACUGCGAAGGGGGGACGGAGAAGGCUAUGUUGGCCGGGCGACGGUUGUCCCGGUUUAAGCGUGUAGGUGUGUGUUCCAGGUAAAUCCGGUU